Molecule: long non-coding RNA, 984 nt
Organism: Eriocheir sinensis (Chinese mitten crab)
Lineage: Eukaryota; Metazoa; Arthropoda; Malacostraca; Decapoda; Varunidae
Exons: 5
Source: RefSeq, a predicted model, not a curated record
GUGUGGUUUACGUUACGGUCCUUGCCUUCCUAAGUCUUGGAGAUAUUCCAAGCUACUGUUAUGGACGGGAUACUCACUCUAUUCAUUCACUUCACAUUUCAAAGAGCAUGGUGAAAUCAGUAUUCUACAAUGAUGAUUCAUUAUCUCAGAAAAGAUAUGAAAGAGCUUGUUCUCUUGAUGCCAACACACUUAUAUAUUUAAUUAAAAAUUCUUUACCGCAUGUCAAUUCUUUAAAUGUGGUCCAUGAUGAUUCAACUGAAGCAGUGUCGUUACUCAAAAACUUCCAAAAUUCAGAAUCUAUUUUCACAGUUCAGAUAAGAACAUUUCUCAUUAAUGCCAAUUUUACCAAUAAUAUCUUUGAGUGGCAUAGUCAACUGUCAUUGCUGAACCCAUUUCUUCUUCUGUCUACCGAUCCAAAACAAGCGGAAUCUCUUCUUCUGAUCUUAGAAAAUGAAGGCAAAUUUUCAUCAUCACCUGUUAUACUGCUUGGAUUAGUGCCCAACACUUUAUGGAGGAAUGCAUUACGUCGGACUGUGGGUUUGAGAAGGGCGGUGCUGCUGUUGCCAAUGAGGUCACGAAGAUGUCCAGUGUUUCAAGUAACAUCGUAUUUACCCUAUAAUCCUAAAGGAGCAAGAUUUAUUUCCAAGGUUGUUAAUGUCAUAUCAACAGGAGGACCUCGCAUUCAACUAUUUAUUGAUCGGUUUCCGAACUUCCACGGGCACAAGUUUCACAUUGCGAGUUGGAUCGAUGAUUUUCCAUACCUUUUCUAUGAUACAGCGGGUCAAGUCAGUGGCAUUGGGGAGUCUAUGCUGAGUGAGCUAUCAAGCCGUUUAAAUUUUAGUUAUCAUCUACAAGACUUACCGCCUGAUGGCUACUGGGGAGAGUUAAUCAAUGGCAGCUGGGUGGGUAUGCUUGGCCAAGUGGUACGUCAGGAAAAGGACUUCCUCAUCAACGGCAUGGCACUAGUACUGGAUCGUUACCAAG